UAUUAUGAGAGUUUGAUCCUGGCUCAGGACGAACGCUGGCGGCGUGCCUAAUACAUGCAAGUCGUACGCUUCUUUUUCCACCGGAGCUUGCUCCACCGGAAAAAGAAGAGUGGCGAACGGGUGAGUAACACGUGGGUAACCUGCCCAUCAGAAGGGGAUAACACUUGGAAACAGGUGCUAAUACCGUAUAACAAUCGAAACCGCAUGGUUUUGAUUUGAAAGGCGCUUUCGGGUGUCGCUGAUGGAUGGACCCGCGGUGCAUUAGCUAGUUGGUGAGGUAACGGCUCACCAAGGCCACGAUGCAUAGCCGACCUGAGAGGGUGAUCGGCCACAUUGGGACUGAGACACGGCCCAAACUCCUACGGGAGGCAGCAGUAGGGAAUCUUCGGCAAUGGACGAAAGUCUGACCGAGCAACGCCGCGUGAGUGAAGAAGGUUUUCGGAUCGUAAAACUCUGUUGUUAGAGAAGAACAAGGAUGAGAGUAACUGUUCAUCCCUUGACGGUAUCUAACCAGAAAGCCACGGCUAACUACGUGCCAGCAGCCGCGGUAAUACGUAGGUGGCAAGCGUUGUCCGGAUUUAUUGGGCGUAAAGCGAGCGCAGGCGGUUUCUUAAGUCUGAUGUGAAAGCCCCCGGCUCAACCGGGGAGGGUCAUUGGAAACUGGGAGACUUGAGUGCAGAAGAGGAGAGUGGAAUUCCAUGUGUAGCGGUGAAAUGCGUAGAUAUAUGGAGGAACACCAGUGGCGAAGGCGGCUCUCUGGUCUGUAACUGACGCUGAGGCUCGAAAGCGUGGGGAGCAAACAGGAUUAGAUACCCUGGUAGUCCACGCCGUAAACGAUGAGUGCUAAGUGUUGGAGGGUUUCCGCCCUUCAGUGCUGCAGCUAACGCAUUAAGCACUCCGCCUGGGGAGUACGACCGCAAGGUUGAAACUCAAAGGAAUUGACGGGGGCCCGCACAAGCGGUGGAGCAUGUGGUUUAAUUCGAAGCAACGCGAAGAACCUUACCAGGUCUUGACAUCCUUUGACCACUCUAGAGAUAGAGCUUCCCCUUCGGGGGCAAAGUGACAGGUGGUGCAUGGUUGUCGUCAGCUCGUGUCGUGAGAUGUUGGGUUAAGUCCCGCAACGAGCGCAACCCUUAUUGUUAGUUGCCAUCAUUCAGUUGGGCACUCUAGCAAGACUGCCGGUGACAAACCGGAGGAAGGUGGGGAUGACGUCAAAUCAUCAUGCCCCUUAUGACCUGGGCUACACACGUGCUACAAUGGGAAGUACAACGAGUCGCGAAGUCGCGAGGCUAAGCUAAUCUCUUAAAGCUUCUCUCAGUUCGGAUUGUAGGCUGCAACUCGCCUACAUGAAGCCGGAAUCGCUAGUAAUCGCGGAUCAGCACGCCGCGGUGAAUACGUUCCCGGGCCUUGUACACACCGCCCGUCACACCACGAGAGUUUGUAACACCCGAAGUCGGUGAGGUAACCUUUUGGAGCCAGCCGCCUAAGGUGGGAUAGAUGAUUGGGGUGAAGUCGUAACAAGGUAGCCGUAUCGGAAGGUGCGGCUGGAUCACCUCCUUU
Molecule: ribosomal RNA, 1560 nt
Filed under: Yersinia enterocolitica
Lineage: Bacteria; Pseudomonadati; Pseudomonadota; Gammaproteobacteria; Enterobacterales; Yersiniaceae
Also listed under: 1 other name
Description: 16S ribosomal RNA
Rfam family: Bacterial small subunit ribosomal RNA
Source: RNAcentral